GAUGAACGCUAGCGGCAGGCCUAAUACAUGCAAGUCGAACGGUAAAUAUUUUAGCAAUAAGAUAUGAGAGUGACGUACGGGUGCGUAACGCGUAUGCAACCUACCCAAAACAGGAGAAUAGCUCGGGGAAACUCGGAUUAAUACUUCGUAAGAUAUUGAUCUGGCAUCGGAUUAAUAUUAAAGCUUCGGUGGUUUUGGAUGGGCAUGCGUCUGAUUAGUUAGUUGGUGGUGUAACGGACCACCAAGACGAUGAUCAGUAGGGGAACUGAGAGGUUGAUCCCCCACACUGGCACUGAGAUACGGGCCAGACUCCUACGGGAGGCUG
RNAcentral lists this ribosomal RNA (325 nucleotides) under uncultured Bacteroidota bacterium. RNAcentral's name for it is "bacterial SSU rRNA". It matches the Rfam family "Bacterial small subunit ribosomal RNA", at positions 28 to 351 of the family's 1533-position model. The record is from RNAcentral. Lineage: Bacteria; Pseudomonadati; Bacteroidota.